This 347-nucleotide unclassified non-coding RNA is filed under the name soil metagenome. Its description in RNAcentral is "partial contains 5.8S ribosomal RNA, internal transcribed spacer 2, and large subunit ribosomal RNA". The stretch from base 1 to 120 matches the Rfam family "5.8S ribosomal RNA", at positions 35 to 154 of the family's 154-position model. The record is from RNAcentral.
GAUGAAGAACGCAGCGAAAUGCGAUAAGUAGUGUGAAUUGCAGAAUUCAGUGAAUCAUCGAAUCUUUGAACGCACAUUGCGCCCGCUGGUAUUCCGGCGGGCAUGCCUGUUCGAGCGUCAUUUCAACCCUCAAACCCCCCGGGUUUGGUGUUGGGGAUCGGCUCUGCCUCACGGCGGUGCCGCCCCCGAAAUACAUUGGCGGUCUCGCUGCAGCCUCCAUUGCGUAGUAGCUAACACCUCGCAACUGGAACGCGGCGCGGCCAUGCCGUAAAACCCCAACUUCUGAAUGUUGACCUCGGAUCAGGUAGGAAUACCCGCUGAACUUAAGCAUAUCAAUAAGCGGAGGA